AUUGAACGCUGGCGGCAUGCCUUACACAUGCAAGUCGAACGGUAACGGGCCUUCGGGUGCCGACGAGUGGCGAACGGGUGAGUAAUACAUCGGAACGUGCCCGAUCGUGGGGGAUAACGAGGCGAAAGCUUUGCUAAUACCGCAUACGAUCUACGGAUGAAAGCAGGGGACCGCAAGGCCUUGCGCGGACGGAGCGGCCGAUGGCAGAUUAGGUAGUUGGUGGGAUAAAAGCUUACCAAGCCGACGAUCUGUAGCUGGUCUGAGAGGAUGAUCAGCCACACUGGGACUGAGACACGGCCCAGACUCCUACGGGAGGCAGCAGUGGGGAAUUUUGGACAACGGGCGCAAGCCUGAUCCAGCCAUGCCGCGUGCAGGAUGAAGGCCUUCGGGUUGUAAACUGCUUUUGUACGGAACGAAAAGCCUUCUUUUAAUACAGGAGGGUCAUGACGGUACCGUAAGAAUAAGCACCGGCUAACUACGUG
This 482-nucleotide ribosomal RNA is filed under the name uncultured bacterium. RNAcentral's name for it is "partial 16S ribosomal RNA". It matches the Rfam family "Bacterial small subunit ribosomal RNA", at positions 30 to 507 of the family's 1533-position model. The record is from RNAcentral.